Molecule: ribosomal RNA, 437 nt
Filed under: uncultured bacterium
Lineage: Bacteria
Description: partial 16S ribosomal RNA
Rfam family: Bacterial small subunit ribosomal RNA
Source: RNAcentral
AACGAACGCUGGCGGCAGGCUUAACACAUGCAAGUCGAGCGGGCAUCCUUGUGGUGUCAGCUGCAGACGUGUGAGUAACGCGUGGGAACGUGCCCUUCGGUUCUGAAUCACUCGGGGAAACUUGAGCUCAUACCGGAUACGUGCGAGAGCAGCAAGGUUUAUCUGCCGAAGGAUCGGCCCGCGUCUGAUUAGCUAGUUGGUGAGGUUACGGCUCACCAAGGCGACGAUCAGUAGCUGGUCUGAGAGGAUGAUCAGCCACACUGGGACUGAGACACGGCCCAGACUCCUACGGGAGGCAGCAGUGGGGAAUAUUGGACAAUGGGGGCAACCCUGAUCCAGCCAUGCCGCGUGAGUGAUGACGGCCUUAGGGUUGUAAAGCUCUUUUCGCCGGGACGAUAAUGUCGGUACCGGAGGAAUAAGCCCCGGCUAACUUCGUG